AUACGUAGGUGGCAAGCGUUGUCCGGAAUUAUUGGGCGUAAAGCGCGCGCAGGCGGUCCUUUAAGUCUGAUGUGAAAGCCCACGGCUCAACCGUGGAGGGUCAUUGGAAACUGGGGGACUUGAGUGCAGAAGAGGAAAGUGGAAUUCCAAGUGUAGCGGUGAAAUGCGUAGAGAUUUGGAGGAACACCAGUGGCGAAGGCGACUUUCUGGUCUGUAACUGACGCGGAGGCGCGAAAGCGUGGGGAGCAAACAGGAUUAGAUACCCUGGUAGUCCACGCCGUAAACGAUGAGUGCUAAGUGUUAGGGGGUUUCCGCCCCUUAGUGCUGCAGCUAACGCAUUAAGCACUCCGCCUGGGGAGUACGGUCGCAAGACUGAAACUCAAAGGAAUUGACGGGG
This 397-nucleotide ribosomal RNA is filed under the name uncultured bacterium. RNAcentral describes it as "partial 16S ribosomal RNA". It matches the Rfam family "Bacterial small subunit ribosomal RNA", at positions 523 to 918 of the family's 1533-position model. The record is from RNAcentral.